Molecule: ribosomal RNA, 316 nt
Filed under: uncultured eukaryote
Lineage: Eukaryota
Description: partial 18S ribosomal RNA
Rfam family: Eukaryotic small subunit ribosomal RNA
Source: RNAcentral
CCCCUUAGACGUUCUGGGCCGCACGCGCGCUACACUGACCAGUGCAACAAGCAUCCGUCCUUGGCCGACAGGCCCGGGCAAUCUUUGAACGCUGGUCGUGAUGGGGAUAGACUUUUGCAAUUUUUGGUCUUCAACGAGGAAUUCCUAGUAAACGCAAGUCAUCAACUUGCAUUGAUUACGUCCCUGCCCUUUGUACACACCGCCCGUCGCACCUACCGAUUGAAUGGUCCGGUGAAGCCUCCGGAUUGGCGCGCACCUCGGUGCCGCCGAGAAGUUGGCUAAACCUUACCAUUUAGAGGAAGGUGAAGUCGUAACA